This 288-nucleotide ribosomal RNA is filed under the name uncultured bacterium. RNAcentral describes it as "partial 16S ribosomal RNA". It matches the Rfam family "Bacterial small subunit ribosomal RNA", at positions 28 to 310 of the family's 1533-position model. The record is from RNAcentral.
GAUAAACGCUGGCGGCGUGCCUAACACAUGCAAGUCGAACGUCCUCUCCGUCGCAAGACGGGGAGGCAGUGGCGGACGGGUGAGUAGCACAUGGGUCACCUGCCUUCCAGUGAGGAAUACCGGCGAGAAAUCGCCGACAAUGCCGCAUAGGCUCACCCUCCCGCCUGGGAGGACGAGCAAAGCUCCGCAAGGGGCGCUGGAAGAGGGGCCCGUGGCCGAUUAGCUAGNGGUGGGGUAAGAGCCUACCAAGGCGACGAUCGGUAGCUGGUCUGAGAGGACGAUCAGCCA